This 1893-nucleotide unclassified non-coding RNA is filed under the name Hevea brasiliensis (rubber tree). The record is from RNAcentral. Lineage: Eukaryota; Viridiplantae; Streptophyta; Magnoliopsida; Malpighiales; Euphorbiaceae.
CAGGAGUCAAUGGCUUCUAGCAUAAGCUGCAGCAGGCUGGGCGUGAAACUUGUAACGUAAGCUAUAACCGUUUAAAACGAACAAGCAAAGCGGUUACAAACACUCCCAUUUCUGCUCUCUCUCUCAAAGAAGCUCGCUUUCCCGCUACUUCCUGUUUCUCAAUCUCUCCGUAGCAAAUCCUCACCAAAUUGCGAUCAAAACUUUCCUCUUCUGAGAAAGAUCCGAAUUGAAGUUCCGUUUGCUUGUUGCUGCUAUAACUUUUCCUACAUUCUCUUGGGUCUUUACACAGUGUUCGCUGAAAGAGGGGGAGACGAUGAUGGUGAUGAAAGUUAAGGAGGAGGAGGAAUUGUAUGAUGUAGAUUCUGCAGACCAAGUCAUAGAUGCUCCUCCUUGUUCAGUUUAUUUUGGAACUCGUGGCGCUGCUUUUCCUAGAUCAGUUUCUUUUCAAGGGAGGGCAACUGGACCAACUCGACGAUCAACUAAGGGACACUGGACGGAAGAAGAGGAUUAUAUUCUUACGGAAUCAGUUAGAAGGUUCCAUGGGAAGAAAUGGAGAAAAAUAGGUGGGUUCUCCUGGACUUCUUUAUUUUGUGGUUUUGUAUCCGAUUAGCAUCAGUCAAUAACCUUUUUACUUUUACCUCAAGGUGUAAUGAUUUAAUCAUUCUUGGUAACUGCCUAACUGUUUCAAUGGAUAACAGCGCGGCUACAGGAAGUGGUGCUCAAAACUGAAAGGUGUUUAUUGUGAAUUUUACUGAGUGCAGGACCGUCCAUGAUGAACAAAAUUAUAGCUAUUUAAUUCUUCUAUAGUUUUUAUAAUAUUAAUGCAUACCCUAAACAAAUUGUUUACUAUCACAUCUAAAGUGGAUGAUUUGAUCAAUUUUAUAUUUUCUCAGCUGAGUGUCUUCCCCAAAGGACAGUUUCUCAGUGCUUUACUCGCUGGAAUAGGGUUCUUAAUCCUGCAAUUGUCAAAGGAACUUGGACAAAAGAGGAGGAUGACUGUAUCAUAGAGUCAGUCAGAAGGUAUGGUCCUAGGAAAUGGUCUGUUAUGGCAAGGUCCUUGCCAGGUCGCCUAGGCAAGCAAUGCAGGGAAAGGUGGCACAACCACUUAGACCCGGCUAUAAGGAGAUCUUCAUGGACAGAAGAAGAGGAGUUGACUCUUACAUACUACCAUGAAAUAUAUGGGAACAAGUGGACAGAGAUAGCAAGGUUUCUGCCUGGAAGGACUGAUAAUGCAAUAAAAAAUCACUGGAAUUGCAUAGUGAAGAAGAAGUUGGAUUCAAAUUCCCCUGCUUAUGCAGAGGAUCUGUGUAAAGUUGGUUCUCUCAAUUUCUGCAGUUGUGCAACGAAAACAGACAGCAAAGAGGUGAAGGAAGAAAGACAGAAUCCUGAUGAAUUAGUCUCUGUUCAUGGAAGGAUGGGGUUGAUGUGUAGUGGUGACAUGGGUACUUCAGAGUUGCUCUGUGGACUCGCUAAUGGAGGACAAAACCAAUUAGAAGCAAAAUAUGGUAUGGUAGGAACUUCUGAUUCUUCAGUUGAGAUAGAUGAACUGAUGAAUGGAAUACAUUUUGAUGACAGAGGUGCAAAUGGUUGUGGUGCAAUGGUUGGAUCCAGAAGAAACAAGAGCAGUGCCCUUGAGGCUGUUCUUCCCUUCCCCCUCAAUUCAGCCAAAUCCCCUAACAGGCUUAGUGGUCAUGAAUUAGGUAUUUUGCAUUCAGAAUUCGGCAAUGAAACUGAAAAUUCAUAUUCAUUUACUUCUGCAACUGGAGGAGACAGGAGUGUAAUUGAAAAGGAAAGCAAAUUUCACAAAAUGAAUAUGCAUAUACAACCAGUGGACAGAAACCAGCGCUGUAUCCAUCACGAGUCAGCCCAGCCAAAGGACUUGGUUACUAACUU